ACCUGCUUUCUCUUUCACUUUUACUGUACCUCUACCAAUAGAAGAUUGUUUAUCAUGGAAAGUACAGAGCAAAAUCAAAACUAAAACAGAAUUGUUCUGAUUAUUUUGGACUAAUUCUUAAUUUAAUAGAAAUUCAGUACUGAUAUUUGCUAAAUAAUUUUAGCAUUGCUUUGCAUGUGUGCAUGACAUUUUUGCUCGCGAAGUUUAUAAUGUACUGCAGUAAAACACAUAAAACAGUUUAAAAAUUAAAAUAAUUAAAGUUUUGUUAAUUUAAUUUUUUAAAUUUAUUUUCUAGAACAUGCUUAUUUAAAUCUCUUUUUAUCUGUUAUGUUUGCCCGCCAUCUUUAACAGACAGUAGGAAUCUUGAGUAUUUGGAAGAUCUGGGAAACUUCCGUGGAAAGUCCUCUAGUAAAAACUCCGCAGGUGGAACCAGUAAAUAAAAGCAGCGGUGAGUCCGUGUCGAUGCACAUCUCUUCUCAACGCACCUUAAGAUCACCUGAAGUCACUUUAACGACAUUGUGGAGCUUGUGUUUCAUACUUUAUCGUCAAUUGCAAAGUUAAAAAGCUGCGCGUGGCAAAAGGAGGCUCGCAGUGACUUGAUAAUACCUGCAUCGUCAGACAAGAAUACGAAAUCAAGAUGUUUUGUGAACCUAUUCUUUGGAACAUUGCUUGCAACGAGCAAGUUCAGAAAACCCCAAAGCACUCCAGGGAUCCAAUAUGCCUGGUGGAAAUCUUAUCUGACAGAUCCAUGUCCUUUGAGGACAUCAGUGGAGAAGGAUGGGUUUCAGAACACAAUACUUCAUCCGUACAGGAUCAUCGGGAAUGGAGUAAACAACAGAGAUCAGCCAGAAGCCAAAUUCUCCAUUCUGUAAAGUCUGCAAAAUUCUGGACAUUCCUGCAGUUUAAGACAUCUGCACAAGCAUGAGGAGACAACUACUGCAGAAUUAAAGGGACUUUUGUUUAUUUGCACCUUUUAGGAAAUGUUCUUAUAUGCCUAAAUAUGUUUUAGUAUAUUAAAUGUGUAAAUUCUAUUUAUUAAGGAAACUGUCCAAUAUGUUCAAAUUUAUACUGAAACAAUUUGUAGUUGGUGUUAUAACUACAAAAUAGUGUUAACAGUGCCUGCUGUUGCUUAAGCUUCCAUUAGAGGGCAACAAUGAGUUGCAUUCGGUAAUGUAUUUGGUGAUCAGCUGGUCUCAGGUCAGCUCACAUAUCAGUUUAUUCUUUAAUUGAUGAAAUGGAUGAAUUCUGUAUUUGCACUCUUUUUUUGUGUUGGUGUGCAUUUACAAAUGUGUAGAAUGUGUAAAUAAAACCAAAGAUAAUUUAUUUUUAA
Long non-coding RNA from Misgurnus anguillicaudatus (oriental weatherfish), 1330 nucleotides. RefSeq lists it as uncharacterized. NCBI's taxonomy places the organism in Eukaryota, Metazoa, Chordata, Actinopteri, Cypriniformes, Cobitidae. The record is from RefSeq and is a predicted model, not a curated record.